Molecule: non-coding RNA, 307 nt
Organism: Nicotiana tabacum (common tobacco)
Lineage: Eukaryota; Viridiplantae; Streptophyta; Magnoliopsida; Solanales; Solanaceae
Source: RefSeq, a predicted model, not a curated record
GUGAAGUUAAGGGAACGCAACACUACUGCCAGUGCAAUGAAGGCUCCGAAAAUUUGUUUGAUAUACCUACGCUACCUUGUCUCAAUAAAUGUGUAUUUGGAGCAGAUUGUAAAGGAGUAGAGCUGGGUGGUCACCAGCUGAACCUUGUACCUCCUCCGCCUCCAGGGGAUGGAUCCAGUGGUGACCCUAAGGACCCCAACAGCUCGAGGAGUUUUCGUGCUUUGACUGUUUUGCUAUUAUUUACGAUCUUCCCAGUUUUAAUAUAGAUUGUAAUUAUACAGGAGCUUAUGUAGGUGUGGUGGUGAGA